Molecule: ribosomal RNA, 460 nt
Filed under: uncultured bacterium
Lineage: Bacteria
Description: partial 16S ribosomal RNA
Rfam family: Bacterial small subunit ribosomal RNA
Source: RNAcentral
CCUACGGGAGGCAGCAGUGAGGAAUAUUGGUCAAUGGACGAGAGUCUGAACCAGCCAAGUAGCGUGAAGGAUGACUGCCCUAUGGGUUGUAAACUUCUUUUAUAUGGGAAUAAAAUGUUCCACGUGUGGGUUUUUGCAUGUACCAUAUGAAUACGGAUCGGCUAACUUCGUUCCAGCAGCCGCGGUAAUACGGAGGAUCCGAGCGUUGUCCGGAUUUAUUGGGUUUAAAGGGAGCGUAGGUGGAUUGUUAAGUCAGUUGUGAAAGUGUGCGGCUCAACCGUAAAAUUGCAGUUGAUACUGGCAGUCUUGAGUACAGUAGAGGUGGGCGGAAUUCGUGGUGUAGCGGUGAAAUGCUUAGAUAUCACGAAGAACUCCGAUUGCGAAGGCAGCUCACUGGACUGCAACUGACACUGAGGCUCGAAAGUGUGGGUAGCAAACAGGAUUAGAUACCCCUGUAGUC